AACCAACAGGGAUUGCCUCAGUAACGGCGAGUGAAGCGGCAACAGCUCAAAUUUGAAAUCUGGCGCCUUCGGCGUCCGAGUUGUAAUUUGUAGAGGAUGCUAUUGGGUUGCCACCGGUCUAAGUUCCUUGGAACAGGACGUCACAGAGGGUGAGAAUCCCGUAUGUGACCGGCCAGGCGCCUUCUGUAUAGCUCCUUCGACGAGUCGGGUUGUUUGGGAAUGCAGCCCUAAAUGGGAGGUAAAUUUCUUCUAAAGCUAAAUACCGGCCAGAGACCGAUAGCGCACAAGUAGAGUGAUCGAAAGAUGAAAAGCACUUUGGAAAGAGAGUUAAAAAGCACGUGAAAUUGUUGAAAGGGAAGCGCUUGCAAUCAGUCUCGACGGCGGCUGUUCGGCCUCUCUUCUGAGUGGUUUAUUCAGUCGCCGCCGGGCCAGCAUCAGUUUUGGCGGUCGGAUAAAGGCGUGGGGAAUGUAGCUCCUCCGGGAGUGUUAUAGCCCCGCGUGCAAUACGGCCCGCCGGGACUGAGGUCCGCGCUUCGGCUAGGAUGCUGGCGAAAUGGUUGUAAGCGGCCCGUCUUGAAACACGGACCAAGGAGUCUAACAUCUACGCGAGUGUUUGGGUGUCAAACCCGUGCGCGCAAUGAAAGUGAACGGAGGUGGGAACCGCAAGGUGCACCAUCGACCGAUCCUGAUGUCUUCGGAUGGAUUUGAGUAAGAGCGUAGCUGUUGGGACCCGAAAGAUGGUGAACUAUGCCUGAAUAGGGUGAAGCCAGAGGAAACUCUGGUGGAGGCUCGCAGCGGUUCUGACGUGCAAAUCGAUCGUCAAAUUUGGGUAUAGGGGCGAAAGACUAAUCGAACCAUCUACUAGCU
This 867-nucleotide ribosomal RNA is filed under the name Elsinoe bidentis. Its description in RNAcentral is "LSU rRNA". It matches the Rfam family "Eukaryotic large subunit ribosomal RNA", at positions 63 to 952 of the family's 3401-position model. The record is from RNAcentral. Lineage: Eukaryota; Fungi; Ascomycota; Dothideomycetes; Myriangiales; Elsinoaceae.